CCUACGGGUUGCAGCAGUGGGGAAUCUUGCACAAUGGAGGAAACUCUGAUGCAGCGAUGCCGCGUGAGUGAAGAAGGCCUUUGGGUUGUAAAGCUCUUUCGUCGGGGAAGAAAAUGACUGUACCCGAAUAAGAAGGUCCGGCUAACUUCGUGCCAGCAGCCGCGGUAAUACGAAGGGACCUAGCGUAGUUCGGAAUUACUGGGCUUAAAGAGUUCGUAGGUGGUUGAAAAAGUUGGUGGUGAAAUCCCAGAGCUUAACUCUGGAACUGCCAUCAAAACUUUUCAGCUAGAGUAUGAUAGAGGAAAGCAGAAUUUCUAGUGUAGAGGUGAAAUUCGUAGAUAUUAGAAAGAAUACCAAUUGCGAAGGCAGCUUUCUGGAUCAUUACUGACACUGAGGAACGAAAGCAUGGGUAGCGAAGAGGAUUAGAUACCCGGGUAGUC
Molecule: ribosomal RNA, 440 nt
Filed under: uncultured bacterium
Lineage: Bacteria
Description: bacterial SSU rRNA
Rfam family: Bacterial small subunit ribosomal RNA
Source: RNAcentral